This 492-nucleotide ribosomal RNA is filed under the name uncultured bacterium. RNAcentral's name for it is "partial 16S ribosomal RNA". It matches the Rfam family "Bacterial small subunit ribosomal RNA", at positions 30 to 507 of the family's 1533-position model. The record is from RNAcentral.
AGUGAACGCUGGCGGUAGGCCUAACACAUGCAAGUCGAACGGCAGCACAGUAAGAGCUUGCUCUUACGGGUGGCGAGUGGCGGACGGGUGAGGAAUACAUCGGCAUCUACUUUUUCGUGGGGGAUAACGUAGGGAAACUUACGCUAAUACCGCAUACGACCUACGGGUGAAAGCAGGGGAUCUUCGGACCUUGCGCGAUUGAAUGAGCCGAUGUCGGAUUAGCUAGUUGGCGGGGUAAAGGCCCACCAAGGCGACGAUCCGUAGCUGGUCUGAGAGGAUGAUGAGCCCGACUGGAGCUGGGAGACGGCCAAGACUCCAAGGGGAGGCGGCAGUGGGGAAUAUGGGAGAAUGGGGUGGAGCUUGAUCGACCAUGGCGGCGGGAGUGAGGAAGGACUUCGGUGUGCAAGAUGUUGUUUUUGGGAAAGAAAAGAGGUGUCAGAAACGCCGCAAGUUUUGACGGUACCUAAAGAAAAAGCCCCGGCUAAGUACGUG